ACAUCAAGUAAGGGUUGGUGGUGGUGGAGGAGGAGGAGAACAUACGAAGGGUACUGUGGCGGCAUCUCUGGGGAAGAGUAAGAAGUAGACACAUAAGAAGGAGAAAAACGAAAGAGGUUAUACAAAAAGAACUAGAGAGAGGAUAGAUUUAAUUAAUUACCAGAGAAAGUUUGCGGAGAGAGGUCUUGGAAGAGAGGCGGAGAAGCAGAGAUGACAUAGCUAAUAGCUUCGCUUGGUUGCUCUGUGUGUUUCUUCUCUAAAGGGUUUUCGAGUUAGUCAAGAUCUAAUUAAGACCAAAGUGCUUGCCACAAGAAAAAGGAGAAGUAGGGUUCUCAAUUAUUACUAGAGAGAUGUCUCUUUCUCUUUAUUUUUUCCACGUUUCUCUCGUUUUUCUCCUUCUUAUGUGUCUACUUCUUACUCUUCCCCAGAGAUGCCGCCACAGUACCCUUCGUAUGUUCUCCUCCUCCUCCACCACCACCAACCCUUACUUGAUGU
Non-coding RNA from Arabidopsis thaliana (thale cress), 495 nucleotides. NCBI's taxonomy places the organism in Eukaryota, Viridiplantae, Streptophyta, Magnoliopsida, Brassicales, Brassicaceae. The record is from RefSeq.